RNAcentral lists this ribosomal RNA (905 nucleotides) under bacterium enrichment culture clone B4139. RNAcentral's name for it is "bacterial SSU rRNA". It matches the Rfam family "Bacterial small subunit ribosomal RNA", at positions 8 to 916 of the family's 1533-position model. The record is from RNAcentral.
AGAGUUUGAUCCUGGCUCAGGACGAACGCUGGCGGCAUGCCUAACACAUGCAAGUCGAACGGAGAUUUUCAGGAAGUUUACUUUCUGAAUUUCUUAGUGGCGGACGGGUGAGUAACACGUGGGUAAUCUGCCUAUCACAUUGGGAUAACAGGGUGAAAACGCUGCUAAUACCGAAUAAGCCGACGGAGGUGGGAGCCUCUGCCGGAAAAGGAGCAAUCCGGUGAUAGAUGAGCCCGCGGCUGAUUAGCUAGUUGGUGAGGUAACGGCCCACCAAGGCGACGAUCAGUAGCCGGCCUGAGAGGGUGAACGGCCACACUGGAACUGAGAAACGGUCCAGACUCCUACGGGAGGCAGCAGUGGGGAAUCUUCCGCAAUGGGCAAAAGCCUGACGGAGCAAUGCCGCGUGAGUGACGAAGGCCUUCGGGUUGUAAAGCUCUGUCUUCAGGGACGAAACAAAUGACGGUACCUGAGGAGGAAGCCACGGCUAACUACGUGCCAGCAGCCGCGGUAAUACGUAGGUGGCAAGCGUUGUCCGGAAUUACUGGGCGUAAAGGGCGUGUAGGUGGACUGAUCAGUCGGAUGUGAAAUAUCCAGGCUUAACCUGGGGGCUGCAUUCGAUACGGUCAGUCUUGAGUGCAGGAGAGGGCAGUGGAAUUCCCAGUGUAGCGGUGAAAUGCGUAGAUAUUGGGAGGAACACCAGUGGCGAAGGCGGCUGCCUGGACUGUAACUGACACUGAGGCGCGAAAGCGUGGGGAGCAAACAGGAUUAGAUACCCUGGUAGUCCACGCCGUAAACGAUGGGUACUAGGUGUAGGAGGUAUCGACCCCUUCUGUGCCGGAGUUAACACAAUAAGUACCCCGCCUGGGGAGUACGGCCACAAGGUUGAAACUCAAAGGAAUUGACGG